UGGGGAAUAUUGCACAAUGGGGGAAACCCUGAUGCAGCGACGCCGCGUGAGUGAAGAAGUAUUUCGGUAUGUAAAGCUCUAUCAGCAGGGAAGAUAAUGACAGUACCUGACUAAGAAGCCCCGGCUAACUACGUGCCAGCAGCCGCGGUAAUACGUAGGGGGCAAGCGUUAUCCGGAUUUACUGGGUGUAAAGGGAGCGUAGACGGAGUGGCAAGUCUGAAGUGAAAACCCUGGGCUUAACCUAGGGACUGCUUUGGAAACUGUUAAUCUAGAGUGUUGGAGAGGUAAGUGGAAUUCCUGGUGUAGCGGUGAAAUGCGUAGAUAUCAGGAAGAACACCGGAGGCGAAGGCGGCUUACUGGACAAUAACUGACGUUGAGGCUCGAAAGCGUGGGGAUCAAACAGGAUUAGAUACCCUGGUAGUCCACGCUGUAAACGAUGAAUACUAGGUGUCGGGGAGCAAAGCUUCUCGGUGCCGUCGCAAACGCAAUAAGUAUUCCACCUGGGGAGUACGUUCGCAAGAAUG
RNAcentral lists this ribosomal RNA (524 nucleotides) under uncultured bacterium. RNAcentral describes it as "bacterial SSU rRNA". It matches the Rfam family "Bacterial small subunit ribosomal RNA", at positions 355 to 896 of the family's 1533-position model. The record is from RNAcentral.